Molecule: ribosomal RNA, 345 nt
Filed under: uncultured crenarchaeote
Lineage: Archaea; Thermoproteati; Thermoproteota
Description: partial 16S ribosomal RNA
Rfam family: Archaeal small subunit ribosomal RNA
Source: RNAcentral
UUGGGCUUAAGCGUCCGUAGCCGGCUUACAAGUNUCCUGUUAAAUUCANCGACCUAAUCGUUGANCCGCGGGAAAUACUAGCUACNGCUAGGAGGNGGGAGAGGUCGACGGUACUUCNGGGGUANGGGUGAAAUCCUAUAAUCCCGGGAGGACCACCAGUGGCGAAGGCUGUCNACUAGAACGCGCUCGACGGUGAGGGACGAAAGCUGGGGGAGCGAACCGGAUUAGAUACCCGGGUAGUCCCAGCUGUAAACGAUGCNGGCUAGGUGUUGGGGUGGCUACGUGCCACUUCAGUGCCGCAGGGAAGCCAUUAAGCCCGCCGCCUGGGGAGUACGGNCGCAAGGC